This 1352-nucleotide ribosomal RNA is filed under the name uncultured bacterium. RNAcentral's name for it is "bacterial SSU rRNA". It matches the Rfam family "Bacterial small subunit ribosomal RNA". The record is from RNAcentral.
CGCGGGAAUUCGAUUAGAGUUUGAUCAUGGCUCAGGAUGAACGCUGGCGGCGUGCUUAACACAUGCAAGUCGAACGAACCUUCGGGUUAGUGGCGGACGGGUGAGUAACGCGUGAGAAUCUGCCCUCAGGAGGGGGAUAACGGUUGGAAACGACCGCUAAUACCCCAUAUGCCGAUAGGUGAAAUGAAUUUCGCCUGAGGAUGAGCUCGCGUCUGAUUAGCUAGUUGGUGAGGUAAUGGCUCACCAAGGCUUCGAUCAGUAGCUGGUCUGAGAGGAUGAUCAGCCACACUGGGACUGAGACACGGCCCAGACUCCUACGGGAGGCAGCAGUGGGGAAUUUUCCGCAAUGGGCGAAAGCCUGACGGAGCAACGCCGCGUGAGGGACGAAGGCCUCUGGGCUGUAAACCUCUUUUCUCAAGGAAGAAGAUAUGACGGUACUUGAGGAAUAAGCCACGGCUAAUUCCGUGCCAGCAGCCGCGGUAAUACGGGAGUGGCAAGCGUUAUCCGGAAUUAUUGGGCGUAAAGCGUCCGCAGGCGGCUUAUCAAGUCUGCUGUUAAAGCGUGGAGCUUAACUCCAUCAUGGCAGUGGAAACUGAUAGGCUUGAGUAUGGUAGGGGCAGAGGGAAUUCCCGGUGUAGCGGUGAAAUGCGUAGAUAUCGGGAAGAACACCAGUGGCGAAGGCGCUCUGCUGGGCCAUUACUGACGCUCAUGGACGAAAGCCAGGGGAGCGAAAGGGAUUAGAUACCCCUGUAGUCCUGGCCGUAAACGAUGAACACUAGGUGUCGGGGGAAUCGACCCCUUCGGUGUCGUAGCUAACGCGUUAAGUGUUCCGCCUGGGGAGUACGCACGCAAGUGUGAAACUCAAAGGAAUUGACGGGGGCCCGCACAAGCGGUGGAGUAUGUGGUUUAAUUCGAUGCAACGCGAAGAACCUUACCAGGGUUUGACAUCCUGCGAACCUCUUAGAAAUUUGAGGGUGCCUUCGGGAAUGCAGUGACAGGUGGUGCAUGGCUGUCGUCAGCUCGUGUCGUGAGAUGUUGGGUUAAGUCCCGCAACGAGCGCAACCCACGUUUUUAGUUGCCAGCAUUUAGUUGGGCACUCUAGAAAGACCGCCGGUGAUAAACCGGAGGAAGGUGUGGAUGACGUCAAGUCAUCAUGCCCCUUACACCCUGGGCUACACACGUACUACAAUGCUACGGACAAAGGGCAGCAAACUCGCGAGAGCUAGCAAAUCCCAUAAACCGUGGCUCAGUUCAGAUCGUAGGCUGCAACUCGCCUACGUGAAGUAGGAAUCGCUAGUAAUCGCAGGUCAGCAUACUGCGGUGAAUACGUUCCCGGGCCUUUAGACACCGCC